AUGCCCCGGUGGGAGCCCUCACUUCCGUCCCGCUGCCGACCUCUCGACCGCCGUACUGGCCUAUAUAAGAAAGGCUCGCCUUCCCCGGCGCUCAUCCUCUUCCAGCGAUCACCCCUGCAUCGUUGCGUCUAUCUCUCAAAUUUUGGCCAUGCCCACGCCCGUUCCUCACCGGAGUCCACUGCCAGCCAGGCCCUCCUGGAAUGCACGAGCUCUUUGGGCUGCCACGCCGUUGGCUCCAGCGGCAGUGUCCGCGCCAGCGACGGCACGCUCACCCUCCUCGCUGGCGGCGACGAGGCCGCCGUCGCAUGCCUCGGCCCGCUCUUUUCCCGCCUCGGUCGACCUAUACACGGCCGGCCGGCGAGCAGAAAAGUCGCCAGCGCCGCUGGGUCGACGCGCGGCUGUGGAAACUCCUGCUUGAACAGAUUACAGGGGUUGGGUGCACUUAUAUACACGUACGAGCCCAAGGGAUCAAUCCUACUCGCCGGCAUCGAGGAAGAAGAGGUGGAGGGCAUGCCCUCUAAGAAUCAGCUGGCCGAGCGCCGCCGGCGCAAGCGCCUGAACUACCGUCUCUCCAUGCUCCACUCCGUCGUGCCCAGCAUGGGACACGGUCGACUACAUGAAGGAGCUGCUGGAGAUGAUCUCCAGGAGGAUAUGGAGGACUCCCAUCCGCAGCCGGCACCGGUGCUGACUGCUGAGUGUGUUCUGAGAGCUGAACCCAACGAGAUGCUGUCCAGGAACACCCCCAAGGUGAGCAAUCUAAGCCACCCACUGUCGCCAGAGGAGAGCCGGGCCAUUGCUGUUUUCAAGGUGGAGCGCAAGGAGGAGGGUCGCGGCGACACCCUGGUAGAUAUCUACUGCACCGUCAAGCCGGGGCUGCUGCUGUCGACGUCUAGCUCCUCACCACGUCGCCCGGCUGGCGGUCAUACUUUGUUCGUGCCGGCUGGUUGUUGCUCUGUGAUUGGUUUGUCAUCUGCUGAUUCCUCUUCUUGUAUGAGCAAUUUCCUUAAUUUCAAUUCUGAUUGGUCUAGCUUUUGUCUGUGUGUGCUUGCCGUCACUUUCUGCUGUUCGGCCGCUGUUGCCAUUCGUGUCGUCGUGAUGUGUUUCUCGAUCGAGCUGUCGCUUUCUCAUGUGGUGCUGUCGGUCUUUGUCAGGGACCAGUGCUGCUUUACGUCCAUCGGUUACUCUGUCUAUGUUGUUCUAGUGGUGCCGCUGUCGAUGUUCCUUCGUGAUGUUGCCAUUUCCGCUGAUCGUCGUAAUGGUCCACGUCGUCAUGUUCGGCCCUGUCGCUCGGGGGGGUCUACAGUUGGUCGGCGAGGUGGUUCGGUCCGUGCUGUUGCUUCUGCUGUUCUGACCGAUCGGGCUAUCGUUUUGCGAUGUGUUUCAUCUUCUCAUAUUCGCUCGCCGUCUCGGUUUGGUCGUCCUGUGCGUCGUUCGCGUGAUUUCUGUGAGCGAUCUCCUGAUUUGCUGGAUCUUGCAGCGCAGUCUGGUGGUGAUGCUUUUGCUAGGCGGCGUAGGGAGGUGAUCCGGGUGGGCAAGCGGCCCAUCGAUUCUACUCUCGAUGUCCCUUUUUGCGCGGCGAAGUCGUGUGGACGUGAUUCUGUUCCUGCUACUGGUUGUUUUUUUGCUCUAGGGCCUGUUGCACCUCGUUGGUUACCUGUGUCCUUGCAUGCAUGGCGCAUGCACGUGUGCCUGGUGUUGAUGGGAGCACCCCGUUGUGUACCCGCGCGCCUGCAUGCAUGGCGCAUGUACGUGGGCCUGGUGCUGAUAGGUGCACCCGGUGGUGUAUCCGUCAGUUUACGUGCCUGGCGCAUGCAUCUAUGUGGUCUAUCGUCGAUCACCGUGGUUAAUUGGAUUGUGAUUUUUGUCUUCGAUUCCAUACUGGGUUUCACGGCAUUCAUUCACUUCAAGUAUCGAAAGGCAAAGAGUUUAGCCAUGAGUACCAACCACUCGGCCAAGAGCUUCCCAUCAGGAAAACAAUCAAAGAAAAAGGAAAAGAAGUUUGUUUCAAGUUCUUCUUCCAAUGCUACCCCAGUUAACAUGGCGUCCGUGCACAUGGGAGCAGUAUAUUCCACAGGGAGCAUCAAUGAAAAUCCUUUAAUUUUCAAAGGAGAACCCGUAGCAACACAAGACGAGGCGGAAGAAGGGGCUGCUCAAGUAGCGCUGGACUACAUUUGUGAGAACUAUGCUAUCACAAUCAACGACUACAAUUAUUCUGUGUUGCAUGCAACAAAUCAAAAGCUUCUAUCAGCUCAAGAAAAGAUGCGUGCAAAGCAUUGGCAGUUCAACAUGGCCAAACGUGAGGUUGCUGCUCGCCAAGCCGAGACUUAUGUACAAUAUAAACUGUCGACCGGCGCGGCGUGCCGCCGCGCGAGUCGCUGGCGGGCCUACAGCCUCUGCUGCGCCCGGGCCCCGCCAGUGGGCCUCGCCGCCACAGCCGGAGGCGGCCUCCUCCUGGCGCGCUGGUUGGCCGACAGCCUCUGCUGCGCGCGGGUCGAGGCUUGGGCCAGACCGCCCCUGUUGCUGGCAGCAUCUUUUCUUAUGCAUGCGCGGGAAAACAACACUAUUCCGUGA
Molecule: ribosomal RNA, 2571 nt
Filed under: Triticum aestivum (bread wheat)
Lineage: Eukaryota; Viridiplantae; Streptophyta; Magnoliopsida; Poales; Poaceae
Description: partial small subunit ribosomal RNA
Source: RNAcentral